RNAcentral lists this ribosomal RNA (479 nucleotides) under uncultured bacterium. RNAcentral's name for it is "bacterial SSU rRNA". It matches the Rfam family "Bacterial small subunit ribosomal RNA", at positions 97 to 611 of the family's 1533-position model. The record is from RNAcentral.
GGCGAACGGGUUAGUAACGCGUGGGAACAUACACAGCACAGGGGGAUAACCAUUGGAAACGAUGGCUAAUACCGCAUACGCCCUAUUGGGGAAAGAUUUAUCGGUGUUGGAUUGGCCCGCGUUAGAUUAGCUAGUUGGUGGGGUAAUGGCUCACCAAGGCGACGAUUUAUAGCUGGUUUGAGAGGAUGAUCAGCAACACUGGAACUGAGACACGGUCCAGACUCCUACGGGAGGCAGCAGUCGGGAAUAUUGUGCAAUGGGGGCAACCCUGACACAGCCAUGCCGCGUGAGUGAAGAAGGCCUUAGGGUUGUAAAGCUCUUUCAGAUGUGAGGAUGAUGACGAUAGCAUCAGAAGAAGCUCCGGCUAACUUCGUGCCAGCAGCCGCGGUAAUACGAAGGGAGCUAGCGUGGUUCGGAAUUACUGGGCGUAAAGGGCGUGUAGGCGGAUUAUCAAGUUAGGGGUGAAAUCCCGGGGCUCA